GAUGAACGCUGGCGGCGUGCCUAAUACAUGCAAGUCGAGCGAACAGACGAGGAGCUUGCUCCGCUGACGUUAGCGGCGGACGGGUGAGUAACACGUGGAUAACCUACCUAUAAGACUGGGAUAACUUCGGGAAACCGGAGCUAAUACCGGAUAAUAUAUUGAACCGCAUGGUUCAAUAGUGAAAGACGGUUUUGCUGUCACUUAUAGAUGGAUCCGCGCCGCAUUAGCUAGUUGGUAAGGUAACGGCUUACCAAGGCAACGAUGCGUAGCCGACCUGAGAGGGUGAUCGGCCACACUGGAACUGAGACACGGUCCAGACUCCUACGGGAGGCAGCAGUAGGGAAUCUUCCGCAAUGGGCGAAAGCCUGACGGAGCAACGCCGCGUGAGUGAUGAAGGUCUUCGGAUCGUAAAACUCUGUUAUUAGGGAGGAACAAAUGUGUAAGUAACUAUGCACGUCUUGACGGUACCUAAUCAGAAAGCCACGGCUAACUACGUG
This 497-nucleotide ribosomal RNA is filed under the name uncultured bacterium. RNAcentral describes it as "partial 16S ribosomal RNA". It matches the Rfam family "Bacterial small subunit ribosomal RNA", at positions 28 to 507 of the family's 1533-position model. The record is from RNAcentral.